CAACCGAGCGCAACCCUUAUCCCCCAGUUGCCAUCAGGUAAAGCUGGGAACUCUGGGGAGACUGCCGGUGAUAACCGGAGGAAGCGGGGAUGACGUCAAGUCCUCAUGGCCCUUACAUCCCGGGCUACGACACGUGCUACAAUGGCAGGUACAGAGGGCUGCAAAGCCGCGAGGUAGAGCGAAUCCCAGAAAACCUGUCUCAGUCCGGAUUGAAGUCUGCAACUCGACUUCAUGAAGGCGGAAUCGCUAGUAACCGCGAAUCAGCAGGUCGCGGUGAAUACGUUCCCGGGCCUU
RNAcentral lists this ribosomal RNA (294 nucleotides) under uncultured Latescibacterota bacterium. RNAcentral's name for it is "uncultured Latescibacteria bacterium partial 16S ribosomal RNA". It matches the Rfam family "Bacterial small subunit ribosomal RNA", at positions 1089 to 1382 of the family's 1533-position model. Lineage: Bacteria; Pseudomonadati; Candidatus Latescibacterota. The record is from RNAcentral.